This 4510-nucleotide long non-coding RNA is filed under the name Vigna radiata. Its description in RNAcentral is "long non-coding RNA (VRAD_LNC006528)". The record is from RNAcentral. Lineage: Eukaryota; Viridiplantae; Streptophyta; Magnoliopsida; Fabales; Fabaceae.
UUUCUUUUAAUGCUUGAAGGCACAAACUUUCUUCUCAUGCAAGCUUUUAAAUCACACCAAUCAUGAAUGGGAGACUUCCUAUCUUUCCUAACAUGAUAUUGUCUUUCAUCUCACCACUCACUUGCAUGUCCUUCUAACUUAGAGAGAUAAAUGCUAAGAACAUAAGAUUCACUCUCUCUAUAAAACCAAGGAUCUAUUUUAUCAACCUCUUUUUCCCAAGCUAGGUAUGUUAAUGCACCUAUGUCUUUACCAAAAAAUGAAAGAUUCCUAGCUUGAUUAAAAUUUUCAUUAACUUUAUCUAAACUAGACAACCUAUAUGAACUAGAAGACCUAGAAGAAGACCUAUAUGAACUAUAACAAGACAUUUGCAAAGACAAUUUGUGGAUUCUAAGACUCCUAAAACGUACGGACUCUAAUGUGACAAGGUCACACCUACACGUGAAUGACAAAAUCAAAGACAAUAAAAGAAAACAAUUAAAGUUGCCAAGAGUUGGAAAGAGCACUAAGAACUCUUCCAAUCUACUUGGACUUUAUAAAAGGCCAUUUACAAACCAAACCUAAAGCUAAGAGUGACAGUGGGCUGACACAAGCCCAUCAAAUACAAAGAAAAUAAAAAAACCAAAUGAAUUUAAUCCUAUGCUACGACCCAACUUCUUGUUGUCCACUAUGCUGCUACGGUCCAGGUCCUUGCCAAUUUUUCCAUGAAGAUUCACGUGUACGUUCCUGUUGUUUCUAGCAGUUUAAACUUUUCUAACUUCUGGGUUCCACUCUCUUUGGAUCUGAUUCACCACUCCUGCACACAUCACACAGCUUAAUAUUCUUUUGGCUAAACAGAUUGCAAGAUACAAUGCACAAGAUAAAGAAUUAUAACUUCCCUUUUCUCGGUCUUGUACACUUCAUGCAGCUAAUUUAAUUGCUUUGGUCUCCAAUUACAAUCUGCAGCCAGAGUAUGCCAACAUCAACAAUUCACUCAUUGCAAUCAAGUACAAUUAUAUAAGAUCAGUUUAUUCAAAACACAAUCAGUUUAGGGGAGAAGACUCCCUUCAAAAUCAAAACUACACACAAAUGUUGCUGCUACUGUUUCAAGGAUCUAGCUCACCCUUCUCAACCUGCUAAUGCUUACUCAAGCUAAAUUCCAAAAAAUCAAUUAGUUUAUUCACUUACAAAGUAUUACCGAUUCCAGCAAAACACAUAAACAUUGAUAUUAAACCAGAUGUAAAUGGAUGUACUCCAAAGCUGAACUAAACUGAUUUUAACAACCAUAUAAUCUGAUUUAAAAUCUAUUCAAUCCAAUGCAGAAAGAGUGACGCAGAUUCCAUUAGAUAUGAUGCAUAUGUAGUUGAAACAAGUUAUUGUAGAAAUGAAGUUCAGAAUGCAAUCAGAACGGUGUUUGCAACUUCCUAUUUCAUCUAACAAAUUCACUAGAUCUUAUCAAUUCAGAAUCCGCAUUCAACAUGCCCAAGUAAACCAUGAAAUCAAAACUUCCCUUUCACAACCGUGAGUAUAUCAAUGAAUUCAGCAAGCAAUGUUUGAAACUAAAAUGAGUGCAAUGACAGCUUAAACAUUCACAAGCACAAAUAGUAUCACCAAGAAAUCAGUAAGCACAUUCAAGCUUUCAAUAUCUCACUAAAUUCAGCAAACAUUUUACAAUCUAAAUGCAAUGGAAUAACAACUUAAACAAGCACAAAAAUGCUCCAAUCUGAUCUCUCAAUUUCCUUUUCCUGCACAAUGAACAAUCCAAAACAGUAAUCAACAGUUAAGUAAAGAUCAACUUCCUCUCACAAAAUUGCCAAGGAAAAUUAUGCUUAAAACAGCCUCACAGAACUCACAUCACUCAAGGCUUCUCUUUAAAAAUUUUAAGCACAUAAACGCAAGGUUUGGAAGAGAGAUUCUCCCUUGUCAGUUCAAGGCUGGAUAGUCUUUCAGACCACCACCACCUAGGAUGCUACCAAGCACACAAUCCUCUUUCAGAUUCCAAAAAUCCAGAAUGAAAUGCUUCUCAGCCAAUAACAGCACAAAACAUGACAAAGAUCACAGAACAGAAUAGAACAAACAAAGCAAACAGACUCACAAGAAACUCUAGAUUAGAUUUUAAAAACAAGUAAAGCUCAAAAUUAGGAAUGGCAGAUCAAAGUUUACUUGUAUUGGACAAAACCAGAUUUAGCAAUCAAGACAAGCAAGAAAAAGAAACUUAGCAAGGCUGACACACAAUUUGAACCUACCAAUAGCUCUAGAAUAGAUUUAGAAAACAAGAAACCAGUUACAAGUUGAACUAGAAAUGACAUGGUUUUGGCACUGCUUUUUAUUACUGCUUAUAUCUUUCCUUCUUCUUCUUUUUUAUAUAUUGUAAUGUAAACCAAGCUUUUGCUGCCAAUCUUUAUUCAGCUAAUGAUGCACAGAACAACAAACACAUGCAUUUAAAAUUGAAAACAACUUGUAUUAGAAACAAUUAAGUGCCUGAAAUUGAUGGCUCAGAAAAGAAUUUGCACCAGAUUACUUAAACACUCAAUUUUACAGCACAAGCAAGUCCAAAUCAGUGGUUUAAACGUAUAAGUGCUGUCAAUUGAGGCUAAUUAGCUGUAAUUCAAAAUUUGACUAGUUGAGUCCACGUUUCACACCAAUUCAGUCAAAUCAAUUACCAAUUUUGAGAUGCAAAGGUGCAAAUGACUUUUAGGCACUCAAUAGGAAUCAAAAUCAACAGUUAAAAAUUGCACAAAAUGGCAGAACUUGUAAUGGAUGGUUAGCAAAAGAUUUAAGUGCUAUACUAGAUUUAAAAAAAACAAAACUCAACUCAAACAAAGAGGUUGCAGUUCGGUCAAGCUGCUAGGCAAAGAAAUUCUGGAUUCUGCAGUGUGAUACCACCUGAUUGGUUUGUCUGAGACAAAUCACUGUUUAUUUGGUAUGUUUACACACUAUGGCAGUGCAUCAGUUAACACUAGAACUACAAUUUAACUCGGUGCAUUGAAUUCAACCAUUAACAUCAGAUUUGAAACAAAUUUGGAUUUGUGAUUCUACUGGUACUGCACUGUGAUUGACUUCUAGAUGCACUAAGCUCAUUAAUCAUUGCUCAUUUUGUGUGCAUCUAUUGAAAGAUCAAUUCCAGAUAUGCAGAUUCAUCCAGGCACAGGUUCAACUCAGAAUUUGGACAAAAUUCAGCAAAUACACAUGACUUAGACAAAACAAGAUAAGAUACUCAAAAUAAAAUGACUCAAACUAAGGAAUAGACCGAAAUAAAAAUUAUGAAAUCAGACUCAAAGCACAAGAUAAGCACAAACAAAAUCAGGAAUUCUAAUCACAGAAAUGCAGAUUCAAGACCAAACAAACACAGAAACUGAAACAAGAUUCAACAACUCAAAUCAGAAAAAAAAAACAAAUCAAGACAUUACAGGAAAAUGAUAGACAACGUGAAUCAAAAGAAACACAAGCUGAGAAUCAAACUGAAACAAAACACAAAGCUAAUAACAAAGACAAAGACGCGAAUCAAAAUGAACAGAUCAACAUAACAACGCGGAUCAACACAAGACAGAUUCGAAACAAGAUGAAACCGAGACAGAGGAAACCAAAAACAGAGAUCGAGAUACUUAUCUUUGUCGCGUGGACGCAACCUUGCUCUGACUACCAGUUGAUGGAAGACGCCUUGAGGAGCUAUCCGAUUGGCGCGACGCGAAGGCCAGUAAAGCUCCUCCAAGCUUCUCCGACGAGAGAUACGUAGCGGAAUAUGUUAACAACUUCUAGAUUAAGAGAGAAAUCGGACAAAAACUCGAGAUCGACGCAGAAUCAGAGAAGAACAGACUGAAUGAACCCUAGAAAGUGAGAAAAGCUCAAAAGGAACCGAUUAAUCGGUGAGAAAUAGUGUUUGAACGGUGGAAAUGGUUUGGAUCGGUACAAAGGUGGUUUCAAUCGGCUAAAAUCAAAGAAAAUGAUGAAGGAUGAAGGAAAACCUAGCAGAAGCCACAGAUCGGAAAACUUUUCGGUGAAGAUGAAGUGCUAUGGCUGAAAAGGCUGAAGCAAAGAAGAAAGACGAAGAGGAAAGUGUAAUCUGUGAUGAAAACGGACACUUACUUGAGGAACUCUCGAGAGAAAAUGUUUCUCCAGAGCAAACCUAGAAAUGUGAUGAAAUGGGAGAAGUGAGGUCUCGGUGCGUCUGAAUGAGAAAUGAGCUCGUGGUGAUGCUAGCACGAGUCAGAGGAGGACGCGUGGUUGUAACGCUGACGUAGGCACAAGGAUUGUGGCAGUGGAGUAAUGGAUCUCCGUGGAGGAGAGAGAAGCACGGUGGAGUAAUUGGAAAAAUGAAAUAAUGAGGUGUGCUUGGAAGGUGGCUAGAGGGAGUCUUUGGACUUUCUAGCCUAUGACUUUCAAGAGAGAAUAGUUUCUGAAUUUAGAAAAUUUUAUUAUCAUUAAUCUCAAAAGUGAAUAGUACAAGUGAAGAGCUGGGUAUUUAUAGUGACCCAUGCUCCUUACAAACUACACUACAGAUACAAUAAAAUGUAAAAAGAGGACUACAUGAGAC